Molecule: long non-coding RNA, 1479 nt
Organism: Carassius gibelio (silver crucian carp)
Lineage: Eukaryota; Metazoa; Chordata; Actinopteri; Cypriniformes; Cyprinidae
Exons: 4
Source: RefSeq, a predicted model, not a curated record
AUUUCUUAUUUUGAAGUGAUGUGAUAUUUUCAAUAUUUAAAAUUAGCAAUACCAUGUAAUCUGCCUCUAUCAGCUUCAAAGGUUGAGGAAAAAAAAAAGAAUGGAGGAAACUCAGAGAAGGGAAAGUGACAGUGAAGAAAUAGAGGACAUGGCUAGAGUACGGUGUACAUUUUAGGACAUCCUCAGACCUCAGUCAUCAAAUGAAAAGGCGUCAUGCCUCAGACUAAAAGGCUUCAGUCAUCGGACAAAACGGCAUCGCGUCUCUGACUGAAAAGCUUCAGGUCUCAGGAAAAACGACGUCAGGUGUCAUACAAUUAACGUUAACAUCAGACGAAACAGACUCAGAUAAAAAGUCAUCAGACAAAACGGACUCGGACAAAGUGUCAUCAGACAAAACGGACUCAGACAAAAAGUCAUCAAACGAAAAGGACUCAGAUGGAGAAUCGCGUUGCCCCGCCCCAUGUGACGUCACACGCACGCCGUUCACAGGAAGUAGUAAUGGUUGAUUGAUGGCAAAAGGAGUGAAACACAUCUAAGAAGAUGAAUAAAAUCAAGUGAGCCACAGAGAUGGCAUCGUCCAAGAGCACAGGCUUGUAUUUUUCUUUUUUCUGCAUUGGGAGUUCAUCCAGAGGCAGCGAGUGAACUUUGUGUCCUGAAACCAGAAUCAGUUGGGAAGAAUGGAACCAAGUCUACCCAAUUAAAAGGCUUACACAGGUCCCCUUCCAGAUGCUGAUGUCUUGGCUUCUGGUGCAAAACUACGUCAGAUUAAUCCCAAGCCUUUGCUGCCGCAAAUACUUGAGGGCAUGUCAAAAGUAGAGUUGUACCUCUUGGUAGUCCACUUUCAUUCCAGUGUCCCCGUAUAGCUGCAGGUGUUCCUGAUCUUAAUUUCCCCCCACUACCUGUGCUUGGUUUUCAGUUUGGCUGUAAUUUUAAAUUUGGCCAGACGGACGAGUGCAUGAUCCAUCUGAAACAUUCGUUUGGACUAGUGGAGGUAAAAAGCACCUCUGCUGAAAACAUUGCUCAGGUUCCAUUUAUGAAAAUUCAAAGAGGACUAGCCAAACUUAAAGAGACCCAUAAGUACUACUGGCAGGUACAAGGUCAGACUGCAGAGACUGGUCUACACUGGUGUGACUUUGUGACUGACACACAAUCAGAUUUCAUAAUACAGAUGAUCUGGCGAGAUGAUGCCUUCAUAACAUCAAUGAAAGUACUGUUAUAACGUUUAUCUGGAUGUGUAUCUUUCAGUGGUAUGAAUGGACAGAUUCUGUUCAUAUUAUAGUAUGAACCUAAGAUUUAUUUUUACAUUCAUAGUAAAUAUAUACUUUAUGUAGUUGAGUAGUAUGUAGCAUAUUUUGUAGUAGAUCUUUGAUAACAUAUUAGAUACAUCACAAAUUAUAACAAUAAAUAUAUUGUACUUGCUAUUAGAUAAAUGUACAUACCAAGGUGAAUACUUUUUGUAUGAAAUCUUCUGUAAUGUAU